RNAcentral lists this ribosomal RNA (305 nucleotides) under uncultured bacterium. RNAcentral's name for it is "partial 16S ribosomal RNA". It matches the Rfam family "Bacterial small subunit ribosomal RNA", at positions 508 to 807 of the family's 1533-position model. The record is from RNAcentral.
ACAGCAGCCGCCGCGGUAAUACGUAGGGUGCGAGCGUUAAUCGGAAUUACUGGGCGUAAAGCGUGCGCAGGCGGUUGUAUAAGACAGAUGUGAAAUCCCCGGGCUCAACCUGGGACCUGCAUUUGUGACUGUAUAGCUAGAGUACGGUAGAGGGGGAUGGAAUUCCGCGUGUAGCAGUGAAAUGCGUAGAUAUGCGGAGGAAAACCGAUGGCGAAGGCAAUCCCCUGGACCUGUACUGACGCUCAUGCACGAAAGCGUGGGUAGCAAACAGGAUUAGAUACCCCCGUAGUCCCUGUCUCUUAUAC